Molecule: long non-coding RNA, 782 nt
Filed under: Cricetulus griseus (Chinese hamster)
Lineage: Eukaryota; Metazoa; Chordata; Mammalia; Rodentia; Cricetidae
Description: lncRNA (ENSCGRG00015037539.1)
Source: RNAcentral
CCCGCCCCCUCCCCACCAAGCCUUCCUUCCAAAUUGUCGCAGUGUCUGGUGGUCCCAGCCCCUCCCCUACUCACAUCCACCCUAUCAAUUUCACAGAGCCUCCAAGUCCCGCCCUUUAUCCUAACACGCCCCCCUCCAAACGGCAAAACCCAAAUUGGUUUGGCUCCUUCCCUGUAACACCCCCUCCUCAACUCAGGACUGAACUAGUGAUUCCAUCUUGGGCCCAGCCAAACGGGGUCCAGUCCCCUCCCUUCCUAGCUGGAUGGAUUCGGAAAGUGCACCCAGGAGGAAGGAAUGCAUCAAACUGGAAGAUACUGAACCCAGAAAUGAGCCCCAGAGUCAUGGAAGAUCUCAUUUUUAGGAUACAGAAGCUCUGCCCUGGAUAAAGACAGAGAAGACUACAGUUACACUUAAGGACAGCAUCGCAAGUCUAUUCUGUGCAACACUUUACUGGUGGUUCUGAAUGUCAUAUGUGGUAUUCGUGACAGGUUCGUGUGCUGAAAGCUUGAGACUUGGUGGAAUGAUUUGAAUUAGUGGAAUCUUUCAGAAAUGCAGCCUACUGAAAAGAGACGAGGUCACUGGGCUAAUCACUGUUGGGAGAGGUUGAUGUCAUUCUCUUGGGACUCAGGUAUUAGAUGCUGUUCUGGGAGCUGAAGACAUAACUGUGGAGAAGACAGAAAGCAAUGCCUGAUUCCCAUGGAGUUGAUUCUAGUAAGGGGAAGAGAGGAAACAAUUGGAUAAAGAAGUAAGAUCUGUAACAACUUAAAUAAAGUGCUAUGGAG